Molecule: unclassified non-coding RNA, 334 nt
Filed under: soil metagenome
Description: partial contains 5.8S ribosomal RNA, internal transcribed spacer 2, and large subunit ribosomal RNA
Rfam family: 5.8S ribosomal RNA (bases 1-120)
Source: RNAcentral
GAUGAAGAACGUAGUGAAAUGCGAUAAGUAAUGUGAAUUGCAGAAUUCAGUGAAUCAUCGAAUCUUUGAACGCACAUUGCGCCCAUUAGUAUUCUAGUGGGCAUGCCUGUUCGAGCGUCAUUUCAACCCUUAAGCCUAGCUUAGUAUUGGGAAUCGACUUUACUGUCGUUCCUCAAAUUCAACGGCGGAUUUAUAGCAAUCUCUGAACGUAGUAAUUUUUUUUCUCGUUUUUGAAAUACUAUAAACCUCAACCGCUAAACCCCCAAUUUCUUAUGGUUGACCUCGGAUCAGGUAGGAAUACCCGCUGAACUUAAGCAUAUCAAUAAGCGGAGGA